UGGGGAAUUUUGGACAAUGGGCGAAAGCCUGAUCCAGCCAUGCCGCGUGAGUGAAGAAGGCCUUCGGGUUGUAAAGCUCUUUUAGUCGGAAAGAAAGAGUUGCAAUGAAUAAUUGUGAUUUAUGACGGUACCGACAGAAGAAGCACCGGCUAACUACGUGCCAGCAGCCGCGGUAAUACGUAGGGUGCGAGCGUUAAUCGGAAUUACUGGGCGUAAAGGGUGCGCAGGCGGUCUUGCAAGUCAGAUGUGAAAGCCCCGGGCUUAACCUGGGAAUUGCGUUUGAAACUACAAGACUAGAGUGCAGCAGAGGGGAGUGGAAUUCCAUGUGUAGCAGUGAAAUGCGUAGAGAUGUGGAAGAACACCGAUGGCGAAGGCAGCUCCCUGGGUUGACACUGACGCUCAUGCACGAAAGCGUGGGGAGCAAACA
Molecule: ribosomal RNA, 427 nt
Filed under: uncultured beta proteobacterium
Lineage: Bacteria; Pseudomonadati; Pseudomonadota; Betaproteobacteria
Description: bacterial SSU rRNA
Rfam family: Bacterial small subunit ribosomal RNA
Source: RNAcentral